UACGUAGGGGGCAAGCGUUGCUCGGAAUUACUGGGCGUAAAGGGUUCGUAGGCGGUCGGGCAAGUCGGCGGUGAAAUCUCUCGGCUUAACCGAGAGGGGUCCGCCGAAACUACCUGACUCGAGGGCCGGAGAGGGGAGUGGAAUACCUGGUGUAGCGGUGAAAUGCGUAGAUAUCAGGUGGAACACCGGAGGCGAAGGCGGCUCCCUGGACGGUACCUGACGCUGAGGAACGAAAGCUGGGGGAGCAAAC
Molecule: ribosomal RNA, 250 nt
Filed under: uncultured bacterium
Lineage: Bacteria
Description: partial 16S ribosomal RNA
Rfam family: Bacterial small subunit ribosomal RNA
Source: RNAcentral